Molecule: transfer RNA, 76 nt
Filed under: Pseudozyma sp.
Lineage: Eukaryota; Fungi; Basidiomycota; Ustilaginomycetes; Ustilaginales; Ustilaginaceae
Description: tRNA-Arg
Rfam family: tRNA
About the family: Transfer RNA (tRNA) molecules are approximately 80 nucleotides in length. Their secondary structure includes four short double-helical elements and three loops (D, anti-codon, and T loops).
Source: RNAcentral
AGCAUACUUAGCUAAAUUGGUAAAGCGCCUAACUUCGGAUUAGGAGAUUUAGGGGUUCGAUCCCUCUAGUGUGCUA